This 421-nucleotide ribosomal RNA is filed under the name uncultured bacterium. RNAcentral's name for it is "bacterial SSU rRNA". It matches the Rfam family "Bacterial small subunit ribosomal RNA", at positions 356 to 773 of the family's 1533-position model. The record is from RNAcentral.
AAGGAAUAUUGGACAAUGGAGGCAACUCUGAUCCAGCCAUGCCGCGUGAAGGAUGAAGGCGCUCAGCGUUGUAAACUUCUUUUGAGUGGGAACAAAAACCCCGACUUGUCGGGGCCUGAGGGUACCACUAGAAUAAGCACCGGCUAACUCCGUGCCAGCAGCCGCGGUAAUACGGAGGGUGCGAGCGUUAUCCGGAAUCACUGGGUUUAAAGGGUGCGUAGGCGGUCAUAUAAGUCAGGCGUGAAAUGCCCCGGCUCAACCGGCGGAACUGCGAUUGAUACUGCUUGACUUGAAUCAGGUUUAGGCAGGCGGAAUGUGACAUGUAGCGGUGAAAUGCUUAGAUAUGUCAUAGAACACCGAUUGCGAAGGCAGCUUGCUGGGCCUUGAUUGACGCUGAGGCACGAAAGCGUGGGGAGCAAAC